AAGACCUUGCACUUUUGGAGCGGCCGAUGUCUGAUUAGCUAGUUGGUAGGGUAAUGGCCUACCAAAGCUUCGAUCAGUAGCUGGUCUGAGAGGACGGCCAGCCACACUGGGACUGAGACACGGCCCAGACUCCUACGGGAGGCAGCAGUGGGGAAUUUUGGACAAUGGGCGCAAGCCUGAUCCAGCCAUGCCGCGUGAGUGAAGAAGGCCUUCGGGUUGUAAAGCUCUUUCAGCCGGGAAGAAAAGGUUGCGAUUAAUAAUCGCAAUUUAUGACGGUACCGGAAGAAGAAGCACCGGCUAACUACGUGCCAGCAGCCGCGGUAAUACGUAGGGUGCGAGCGUUAAUCGGAAUUACUGGGCGUAAAGGGUGCGCAGGCGGUUUUGUAAGUCAGAUGUGAAAUCCCCGGGCUUAACCUGGGAACC
This 423-nucleotide ribosomal RNA is filed under the name uncultured bacterium. Its description in RNAcentral is "bacterial SSU rRNA". It matches the Rfam family "Bacterial small subunit ribosomal RNA", at positions 207 to 622 of the family's 1533-position model. The record is from RNAcentral.